This 1206-nucleotide ribosomal RNA is filed under the name Chryseobacterium aquaticum. RNAcentral's name for it is "bacterial SSU rRNA". It matches the Rfam family "Bacterial small subunit ribosomal RNA", at positions 93 to 1307 of the family's 1533-position model. Lineage: Bacteria; Pseudomonadati; Bacteroidota; Flavobacteriia; Flavobacteriales; Weeksellaceae. The record is from RNAcentral.
GAGCGGCGCACGGGUGCGGAACACGUGUGCAACCUGCCUUUAUCUGGGGGAUAGCCUUUCGAAAGGAAGAUUAAUACCCCAUAAUAUAUUGAGUGGCAUCACUUGAUAUUGAAAACUCCGGUGGAUAGAGAUGGGCACGCGCAAGAUUAGAUAGUUGGUGAGGUAACGGCUCACCAAGUCAAUGAUCUUUAGGGGGCCUGAGAGGGUGAUCCCCCACACUGGUACUGAGACACGGACCAGAUUCCUACGGGAGGCAGCAGUGAGGAAUAUUGGACAAUGGGUGAGAGCCUGAUCCAGCCAUCCCGCGUGAAGGACGACUGCCCUAUGGGUUGUAAACUUCUUUUAUACUGGGAUAAACCUACCCUCGUGAGGGUAGCUGAAGGUACAGUAUGAAUAAGCACCGGCUAACUCCGUGCCAGCAGCCGCGGUAAUACGGAGGGUGCAAGCGUUAUCCGGAUUUAUUGGGUUUAAAGGGUCCGUAGGCGGACUCGUAAGUCAGUGGUGAAAUCUCAUAGCUUAACUAUGAAACUGCCAUUGAUACUGCGGGUCUUGAGUAAAGUAGAAGUGGCUGGAAUAAGUAGUGUAGCGGUGAAAUGCAUAGAUAUUACUUAGAACACCAAUUGCGAAGGCAGGUCACUAUGUUUUAACUGACGCUGAUGGACGAAAGCGUGGGGAGCGAACAGGAUUAGAUACCCUGGUAGUCCACGCCGUAAACGAUGCUAACUCGUUUUUGGGUUUUCGGAUUCAGAGACUAAGCGAAAGUGAUAAGUUAGCCACCUGGGGAGUACGUUCGCAAGAAUGAAACUCAAAGGAAUUGACGGGGGCCCGCACAAGCGGUGGAUUAUGUGGUUUAAUUCGAUGAUACGCGAGGAACCUUACCAAGGCUUAAAUGGGAAUUGACAGGUUUAGAAAUAGAUCCUUCUUCGGACAAUUUUCAAGGUGCUGCAUGGUUGUCGUCAGCUCGUGCCGUGAGGUGUUAGGUUAAGUCCUGCAACGAGCGCAACCCCUGUCACUAGUUGCCAUCAUUCAGUUGGGGACUCUAGUGAGACUGCCUACGCAAGUAGAGAGGAAGGUGGGGAUGACGUCAAAUCAUCACGGCCCUUACGCCUUGGGCCACACACGUAAUACAAUGGCCGGUACAGAGGGCAGCUACUAUGCGAAUAGAUGCGAAUCUCGAAAGCCGGUCUCAGUUCGGAUUGGAGUCUG